CCCUGGGUGGCUCAGUUGGUUAAGCGUCUGACUUUGGCUCAGGUCAUGAUCUCACAGUUCGCGGGUUCAAGCCCCGCAUCAGGCU
This 85-nucleotide transfer RNA is filed under the name Felis catus (domestic cat). It matches the Rfam family "tRNA". Rfam says of the family: Transfer RNA (tRNA) molecules are approximately 80 nucleotides in length. Their secondary structure includes four short double-helical elements and three loops (D, anti-codon, and T loops). Further hydrogen bonds mediate the characteristic L-shaped molecular structure. tRNAs have two regions of fundamental functional importance: the anti-codon, which is responsible for specific mRNA codon recognition, and the 3' end, to which the tRNAs corresponding amino acid is attached (by aminoacyl-tRNA synthetases). tRNAs cope with the degeneracy of the genetic code in two manners: having more than one tRNA (with a specific anti-codon) for a particular amino acid; and 'wobble' base-pairing, i.e. permitting non-standard base-pairing at the 3rd anti-codon position. Lineage: Eukaryota; Metazoa; Chordata; Mammalia; Carnivora; Felidae. The record is from Rfam by way of RNAcentral.